RNAcentral lists this ribosomal RNA (262 nucleotides) under uncultured archaeon. RNAcentral's name for it is "partial 16S ribosomal RNA". It matches the Rfam family "Archaeal small subunit ribosomal RNA", at positions 748 to 1008 of the family's 1478-position model. The record is from RNAcentral.
UAGCCGUAAACGAUACUCGCUAGGUGUCGGCCACGGUGCGACCGUUGUCGGUGCCGUAGGGAAGCCGUGAAGCGAGCCACCUGGGAAGUACGGCCGCAAGGCUGAAACUUAAAGGAAUUGGCGGGGGAGCACAACAACGGGUGGAGCUUGCGGUUUAAUUUGGAUUCAACGCCGGAAAUCUUACCGGGACCGACAGCAACAUGAAGGCCAAGCUGAAGACUUUGCCGGAUUAGCUGAGAGGAGGUGCAUGGCGUCAGUGACU